RNAcentral lists this transfer RNA (72 nucleotides) under Ovis aries (sheep). It matches the Rfam family "tRNA". Rfam says of the family: Transfer RNA (tRNA) molecules are approximately 80 nucleotides in length. The record is from Rfam by way of RNAcentral. Lineage: Eukaryota; Metazoa; Chordata; Mammalia; Artiodactyla; Bovidae.
UCACUGGUGGCUCAGACAGUAAAGAACCCGCCUGCAACGUGGGAGACCCGGGUUCAAUCCCUGGCUUGGGAA